This is a non-coding RNA of Cyanistes caeruleus (blue tit), 8119 nucleotides long. NCBI's taxonomy places the organism in Eukaryota, Metazoa, Chordata, Aves, Passeriformes, Paridae. The record is from RefSeq and is a predicted model, not a curated record.
UAAUAAUAAUAAAACAGGGCUUCAAAAUGAUGAUGGGAUUAAUCAAUAUGUUAGAAGAGAAAGUAUUGAAAUAACUUCACGGUUGGCAUAGCCAGUUGUCGGAUCAGCUCUCCCUUUCAUAGGCACUUGUUAUAACAGGCAGGGGGCUAACCCUCUCAGACAUGGAGCUAAUCAGUCCUUGAAAGUCACUUCAUCCAGUGGAGUGGAAUAAUGUACUCUAGCAUCGUUUGUCCACCUCUACCAUUUGGAGCAAUGUUAUUUAGACUGUCCAUUUUUGCCUCAUCAGCUUCCAUUUCAAAGAUUUAUUUUUUUUUUCCAGUGGCAUCUUUUAUCAGAACGUCAGGUUAAAUGUAUUGUCUCCUACUAUCCCCUUUGUAGUGGGCAUUGUAAAGACCAGUCUGUGAAUAUAUAGCAAGAUAAAGAAAAAGCAGCUGCAUAGUUGGAAUGGCUAUUCUUUAAGCUUGAUUAAGUUCUCACAGAAAAGAAAAAAAAAAUCCGGACAAGAAGUAAGAUCACGAUUAAUGACCAAGAACAAUAUUUCCAGCAAAAAGUUAACUUAAUCAACUUGCUGAACUGCAGGUUCCAUUUACAAUUACCAUGCAGAUGCGGGUAGCUGUCAUCCUGCAGGCAGUGCACGCGCCUGCCCACCCUGUGCAAACAGAUGUUUUUUGUCUCAUUUUCCAAUAUCUGUUUCUGCCCUCCCCACCACAACUGGCUGCCUGCCCUGCCUGCAAGAAUUGGUUCUUUUCCCGAGUCUGGGCUGGGCCUAAUUGAACAUGAAUAGAUUCCCUGGCCCCAAACAGGAUCACUGAACUUGAAGAAGAUAAAAGCUGAUGGACAAGGACAACAGAAUCAACUUUUCUUCACUAGCAGCUAUUCCUCACUGUCACUCAGUGAUACCAGUAAAUUAAAUGUUCACAAGGAAAGUUUUUUUUUAUAAAAGAGGUAUGUCUUUCUCCUGGUACUUGGAUAUUCCUCUUUGGGAAAUUUCCAGGAAAUUAAUAGAAGUAGAACUAGAUGAAACAAUGUUGUCAAUUUGAUUAUAUUGUACAUAGAAUCCUUCUGCUCAUGGAAAUCCUCUUAGUGUGCUAAUUCCACUGUUUGAUUACAUUUAUUUUGUUUAUAUGGAAAAUGUGUUUUGCUGUUGUUAUAAUACUGUCAUUUUAGAAGCUCAUUCCUCCUGUCUGGAGAAGGCUGGUAUCAGCAAGGGAAUAGACAUCUUUUGACAUUUGUUCUUCCAAAUUGACUCCUAAAAUGAGCUCUUAGAUGUUUCCUCUUUGAAAUGCAGUAAUAGCCUGCAAGUGGCUAUUUCAAAAUAUUUCUUACUCAAUGGUCACCAUAGGACUUGUGGUGACUCUAGCUGUGUCCCUUUGUCUUCCAGUGAUUCCCAUUACGUAUAAAAGAUCAUGAAAAUCAAUUUUAUUUUGCAUAAAUGAUUGCCACUUAUAUAUCAAUAGCACAAAAUACAAUGCAUGGGUUUAUGAAUGAGCACUUCCUUCCCUGAGCUGGGAAGAGUCUUGCUGUCAUGCAGAGGGGAAUAUUGAUGGCAGCAAGAUGUUUUCCAGGGGUUUCUGUGUAUGGGCCAUAGUGUAAAAUCUAUCUUGCUCAAUUAGCUUUUUCUUUUUUCAGUGUCACUGUUUGUGUUUGUAAUCACAGUGCAUAAUAUACUUAUUCUUGACCAAACAGUUGAAACAGAAAGGAAGCUAAUCCGAAAAUGAUGGCGAUUCAUUAUGCACAUUUUUCUCUUUUGAUUAAAGGGUUCUUCAAAAUUAAAAAAUGUUGGUCUUAUAUGAAAACCAAUGAGCUUUACUUUAAAAAGAGGAAUAAAACUAAAAAAUAAACAAUCCCUCCUCACCUUUUCCUGUAAAAGCAGAAACUUUCCACAGACUUUUUAUAACUGAACCUAAUUUUUUUACUUUUAUGAUAUUUAAUUCACUUAUUUCAUCACAGUGUACGUAACAUGUCUGAUAGAGCUUCCUACAGUGCUUGGUUCUCUGCUGUCCUCCUAGCCAGUUAAACAUAAGCUAAAGUCAUUACACUAAAACAAAAAGAAAAUGGGGAGGAGUAAGAGGAAGAAAUGUAACCAUCUGAGUCACAUUUGCUGCUUCUCUCCAGGAAUGGUCCCUGAUACCACUCAUUUGAAUAGAAAAAUAAGUUGUGUUUUUUCUGACCUUUUCCAUCUAGUUACAAAUGGUGUUACUUGAAAGGCUAACUCAAGUCUUUUGCACUGUGAGAGUAAUAAUGUAUAAUGGUACUUACGUGUUCUAAAUUAGGCCCUUGCCAAUAAACAUCCUUUUUAACCAGAUACUUACUUUCUUGAAUUUCAUAAUAAAGCAGAAAUUAUCUAUGUGAAACAGGAAAUAAUGUAUGUGGAACAGAAAAAUUAAGGAAAAGUAACUUUGCUGUUCAGCAAAAAUUAUUGGGUAGUAAUUGGCUUCAUUCAACAAAUCUUUAUUAAUCAGAACUGUGAAAAUAGAGUAAAUUAAUUUAAAUAGAGUCUUCACAUCACAAAUCACAAUGAUAAAGAAGAUGGGGCAGAUAGUAAGAUGUGUUGCUUUCAAAUAUUACACAUGAUCACAAGCUUAAUUAUAUACAGUUGAUGUUCUUUGUUUAUCCCUUUGUUAUGAUUCUUCCAGAUUUUCAUUUUCUAUCUUGACUGCUAUGGUUCUUCGUAUGUAUUCCUCUCACAAGAGAAAUCAUCAGCGCUUCUGCAUUUGUGUCUGUAAGCAACUGUUCACUGAAUCAUCUACUUUACACCUACAUGGAGGAAUAAAUUGAUGCUUAAUUGUUUUAUGGGAAUAAUUGAUGCUUCAAAGGAGAGUGGGGGAUCUUUCUGCAACUCUCCUGUAAAAAUUGUUUAAAAGCAUUUUAAAUUCAAUAUCUUGAUAAUAUCUGUUUUAAUACAUCAGGUGAGAUCUUAAUUGAUAAGUCAGUGGAAGUUGUAAGCUGAAAUAAAUCCUGAUAAUAGCUGAAAGCUAAAUUGAAUGGAUUGCAUAUUACCUAUAUUAUUAGUUGAAACCAAUUAAAUUGUUUAAAUUAACAAAGCAUAGUUAGAGAAGGAAAGCACAAUUAUCUUUCCAAAAUGGAUAUAGCAUCCUGAGACUUUGCUCUUGAAGGACAGAUACAAGCCAGUGCCCACCAGCAGCCUGUGCUUCAGUGCUCUUCUGCUGUGCUUCCAGUGUCCUGAGUGAACAGACACUACUCCCUUGUAUCUUUGCUUACAACUAUCAGAUCUCUCCAGUGUCCUCUCCUAUGACUCCCCAUCCUAAAUGCUCUGUAUUUCAAAUCCUACUACAAUUAUGGGUAGCCACGUGCCACAUUACCUGCUAAGAUAGGUGCUUCAUGCUGAAGUUGGGGGAUAUCUGGCUGUUACUAUUUUUCUGCAGUCUAACAUUACAGUGCAAUUGAAGCAAUGUUUCUGAAAGACCAGUUCAGUACAUUAGCUCUCAAAUAUGAAAAAAUACACUUUCAUCAUUGAAAUUAUUCACUUAUAGCAGCACUUCAGCAAAACAUUGUCCACACUGACCUUGCAAUUAUAUCGCAUCUAGUGUGUACUGAUUUACAUACUGUAUGCUUUUCCACCUGUAAUUGAGGCUAUUAAGCAGAAUGCAGAGGCUGAGCUCCACCCUCUGUACCUAGCAGAUUAUACAGAAGGUGCAAACUCAACAAAAUGUGCUGGGGAUGCUGCUGCUGAAGCUACCCUAUGAGGGCUUAUUGCCCAGCAAAGUAACACUCCUGCCUGGCAGGUGCUUCUCAGCACCUUUUGUUCAGUAAAGGUUAUGCCAUUCCCAGUGUAAAUCACACAUACUGCUUAGUAAAAACCAUUCUAAGAGAAGCUAGAGAAUCUGGAAAAAAGGGAGACACUGUGAUGAUGCAGCCUCAUUUUUAGAAUUAGAGUAGAAUUAAAAUUUUAGAUCAGAAUUUUUUCUGUUUUAAUUGCUCCUUGGAAGAGUAUUUAUUUGUAUUUUUGAUAUUUCAUCAACUGAAUGAGGAACUUCUAAAGAUGGUGAAUUUUUAAAUACAAAACCUGUUUUACAUUUAAAUAAUUAUUUGCCCACAAACUUUACAGGAUUUGGGAAUUAAUGUGUCAGGUUAGUCUAGCUCCUGAAAAUAGCAGCAAAUUAAAUCAUGACUUCAUUCAAAAAUAUCUUUAGAUAUUUUAUUUUACAACACUUUUUGUUUUGCACGCUGUUUGGCUAUUAAUGUACUGUAAGCUGAGAAUACUGAUGGCCUAAUUUGCUUCUGAAAACGUGAAAAAUGUCUAAAUCAGAAAUGUCCUGAGGGGAAGGCCCAGGGGAAAUAAUAACAUAAAAGUAAAGCCAUCUUGAGAUCUUAAUCUGGAAUACUAUUUUACAUUGUUCUUGCCAUAUAAAGUAAUUAUGGAAUCAACUAUUAGAAGAUGUUGAAUUAGAGCCUUGGAUGGCACCAAAAAUCACUGUUGUGAAGGACGGGACAGGACAUUUGCAUGUGAAAGGAUUGUGAAUAGUAUCUGUAAAGAAUUGUGAAAUUACUUCCAUAUUUAUUAUUAUAAUUUUGUAUCAUCACAGUCUCAUUUCAGCAUGACCUGCAAGAAUAGAUUAAAUUAAUGUCAUUUUCUCUUCUUGUUAACAUCUUUAUCACAAGAUCAAGCUGUCACAAUUUUAGUGUCUAGAAUAGUCUGCGAAUUACAGAGGGCAAGAGCAGGACCAUUUCCCCGUUCUGCGCCUUGGUUUGCUCACCUCUCCCAGUUCGUUCUUCCUUCCCCACCACGCCGAGUGACAAUCAACAUAAAAGCUCUUUGUAUUCUACCCUCCGGUAAUAAACAGAAGACAGCCUUCACUAUUUUAAACCUCAAGCCAGCUGAGCUCUGUCCUCCAGUGCUCCAGGAUGCACUUUGAAUUCAACAAAAGGGCUCAGCUGAGUCCCAAAGAACCAGAGGGAUGUAGAAGACUUUCCAUAGAAAACCGUAAUUCCAGUAACAAUUCCAGGACUGUCUGGAAAAUGCAUGGUAAAUAUUGUCAAAGAAGAAAACAAAUGGUAGCUCAGGAGUACUUUGUUUGACACACCAAAAUACUUGUGCAUGAGCAUAACUUUGCUGAAAGCCUUUGCCAGGCUGAUGUCAGGCUGUCCCUGUCAAUGAACAAUUGUGUGGAAAUGAACAUGGGCUCAGGAGAAGCAGUAUGAGCUACAUCUGGCUAUUUAAAUCUACUCAACAUGCAAGGCUUUUGGAAGACCCCAGCUCUGCUCCCUUUAGUUAUAUUCUGCUUGAUAAUGAGCAGCAAGGUGAAACCAAUGACUUAAACAAGUAGACAAAUUGUUUUAACUGCUAAUGAAUGGACUGGGGGUAGAAGUCUGCCUUUUUCCAAUAUGGUUUUCUGUGCUGACAGUGCAGAUGAUCUUCCUUUCUGACCAUUCAUCUAACCAUUCCUUAACUUCUACCUGCCAAGGUGUUUGGGUUAAAAAGAAUACCAUAACUUAAUACCAAGAGAGCAGCUGAACAACAGAGCUGACAGAACUGGGAUUACAGUGAUGAAGUUUUGGGCAACCUGCUGUUCCUGUUAGCAGCAAAGAAAAGUGGUCUGGAGCAUUAUUUACAUAUAUAAUUCAUAAGGGUGUUUUGUAGAGGAAAGUAAAACCAAACCCUCAUGGAAUUCCAAAAUAAUCUCUAAUUUCUUUUUGAUAUGCUGAAUAUGUUGACUGCUGAUUUCUAUCAGAGGUUUUUGGUUAUAACUGCAGACCAGUUUCCAGAAGGAUUAGAAGAAUAAGGCAUAAUUUGAUGUAGGACAUGUUGUUGUCAAAUGUUGGCUUUUUAACAUGGUAUAUUUAUAUACUAAUUCCAUUGUAUGUAAAGGGUGAUUACUUAUUUAAUGAAGAGUCUUCACUAGAACAGAGUUUUGUCACAAGAUAAUGGUCUCAUGCUGUUAACUAAAUGGGAAAUCAUUUACUGUAAAAUAUAUACACUCCAAUUUAUAAGAUUACCGUGUACAAGCAAAGAUCCAGCAACGGGAUGUGGGCAAACAUAAGAAAAUAUAUUACCAGAGAAAGAAUAUUUACUUGUCCAUAACGACAAAAGUGGUAACACACAAAAAAACCUCCUACUUUGUUUUAUCUUUAUUCCCAAAUAAAUAUACAUGUCAAAAGCUAGUUAAAUCACUGCAAGUUAAAUGCAUUUGUGAAAAAAAAAAAAUCACUCAUUGGUGACAUCUACAGAACUGCAGAAUUCAACCUUUCUGUCACUUGACACUGGUAAAUAACAAAAGGGUAUUUUCCGUGAGUUUCUAUGCCUCUUGGCUUAGGUACCUUCCACCCCUAAGUACACAUGUUCUGCAUUCAGCACAUGUUCAAGGAGUGCUCCCAGAUCCUCUUUAAGCUCCUCUGUUUCUAUUACCAAUAUAAAUUAAUUUGCAUAUAGGAGUUUCCUAAUAUUCCUGAAUGUGGUGUUAAUAUACAGCUAUAAACUCAAAGUGUUAAUCAGGACUAGUGAGACAAAUAAUCUCCCUAAGGGGAAAGUGUCAGUUACAUAAUCAGAAUACAUUAAAAUCUGGUAAACUGCACGUUUUUAAUAAAAAAGAGCAAAAUGAAGGGCUGAAUUUAUAGCCAGCAGACAAAGGUCCCUUAAAAAUAGACCUAUUAAUGCUUUCUGCAAGGUCAGAUCAAGGAUGAUGAAAUGAGAAUUGACCAAACACAAGAGCAAUUCUCAGUUAAAUAAAAAGCCAGAUACUAUUUUCUUCACUGACAACAGAAAAUGAACAUAGAGACAAGAAAGGUUGAUCACUGGUGCCAAAAAUGUACUUUCCAUUCUCUGAGCUUUCUAAAGUCUCUUCUUUUAUCCAUUUUCUAUUUUUCAUCAUAUUGCCAUUCUCCUUUUUUUGUCAAUGACCUUUCUUCUGUCCAACUCAGCUUCUGUCUAAUGACCUGAAGAGGCCUUCUUCACAGCCUGGAAAGCUUUAUAUUUAAGAUCCCCCUCCUUCAUUAGAGUGAAAAGUGAACAGCCUCUAUGUGCUGGGUGUUAAUGAAUGUGAAGAAAGAUUUUUUUUGUAUGUGUUUUACACAUUAUGUUCUUGACUCCUUGAGGUGCUACAAUAAAUUGCUGCGCUUCAUUUACAAGGAGUGAUAACAGAAGCAAAAUGAGGAUCUGGCAGCAAAUUACUUCUCAGUUCACCCUGGGUCAGGCUGCUGGGGCUAAUGAGAAGAGGUGCUCUAAUUUUAAACUCCUCCUCAACCAAGCUAUUCUUGCAUUAAUGUUCACUGCUAUAAAUUGUAAAGUCAAAUGAAGGAGCACUGUUGAAAAUUAACCAGUAUUUUUAUCCUUUGAGUACCCAAUAGAACAUAUUUUGGCUUCUAAGCCUGGUGGUUAUCAAAGGCAGCACAGCUACACCAGCCGCUCCCGCCUCACCACGGCAGGAUGCUCCUCACACACGCACACACACACACACCGCUGUUUCUGCCUUUGCUUUACAUGAGAGGCAAAAAUAGUAUGGCUUUACAACCAAGUUAUAAUUUAUCUCAAAGAAGAAGGUGUUUAAAGCCAGCCUUUUUGUGUUGCUUUAACAGGACUCUGCAGACAGACAUUAAAAUGGUGCAGAAUUACUCCAUCCAUUUAAUGCUACCACACAUGUUUAAUGAAUUGUAAUUGUGUAUAUAGAAAGACCCUGUAAAUCACUGACCCGUUUAUGUCUAUGAACUCCUUGUUGCUGUAACCCAGAGCAGGAUUUGAGUAGUUAAUGAGAAACUAAUGCAGCACCUGCUUCUCAUGAAAUAGCUUCCUAAGCCUGUAUUUCGUCAAUUCGAUGAAAUCAAAUACAAUACAAAUAGGAAAAAAUAAAUAAACAGAAUAAACCCCCAAACCAAAACUAUAGUCCAGGGUUCAUAGUCAGGGUGUUACACAUCUUGGAAGAACAUGAUUCUAGAUUUUCAUCACUGGAUUUUUAUUGAUAACUUGGCACUGACUACAAUGACAUUAAUAUAUUUGAAAUAUAUAUCAAUGGUAUGGCAUUCAUUUUUUGUGAGAUGUGUCUGUCCUGGUACAUUCUUCCAUGAAAUUACUACAUAACAUACAAAUUAACCACACUACCCUACUCUAAUCAUUGUAAUCAGUUAUGUUUUCAUGUGUACAUUACUAAUAUAUAAGGUUGUUGUA